CCUUUUCGACAACAUCUUUUAGUGCGGCGACAGUUUAUUUUCCUGGGCGGAAGCCGUGCUGCCUUGUGGAUAACCCUCCUCCCGUGUAUAGCUUCUUCCAAUCUGACUUUUAUAAGUCUCCCGAGUAGUUAACCGGCUGUGAGACAUGCAUAGAGCAUUUUGUGAAAUCGGCAAGACAGUCCGGCCUUGCCACCGCUAUCAGAUUCAGCAGCUCUGUAUUCCAUCAGGACUUGGUGCUUUCUUAUUUUUCAUUUUAGCAGCUGCCGAAAAAAGUUCCUCCACUGUAAAAGUGGUAAAGCAUCGUGUUUCCUCGUUGGUGGUAUUCCCUGCAUCUAUGUCGUGUCUGGAAAACAACGGGUUUACGAUGCUACCCAUGAUCUCAUCGUCUAGCUCGCUUGCUGGGUUCUUUUCGCCUAGCAUUUUCAUAACAGCUUUGUCGCCAAGGCAAUAUGUCUCCCCACGGAUCUCGGUUAAUAUCCUCUCUCAGUGAUUCCCACUGUUAUUUUUUAAUAUUUUGUAUGGCGUUUCUAAAAGACUAUAAAGAGGUAUUCGUAUGAGCUCUUU
Molecule: long non-coding RNA, 564 nt
Organism: Stomoxys calcitrans (stable fly)
Lineage: Eukaryota; Metazoa; Arthropoda; Insecta; Diptera; Muscidae
Exons: 2
Source: RefSeq, a predicted model, not a curated record